UUUCGAAUCAUUCACAAUGGGCGAAAGCCUGAUAGUGCAACGCCGCGUGGGGGACGAAUGUCUUCGGAUUGUAAACCCCUGUCACCAAGGACUAACUAGCAUUCGUUAAUAACGGGUGCCUUGAAUUAACUUGGAGAGGAAGCAGUGGCUAACUCUGUGCCAGCAGCCGCGGUAAUACAGAGACUGCAAGCGUUAUUCGGAUUCACUGGGCGUAAAGGGUGCGCAGGCGGCCAGAUGUGUCAGGUGUGAAAGCUCGAGGCUCAACCUCGAAACGGCCCCUGAAACUAUUUGGCUAGAGUAUCGGAGAGGGAAGCGGAAUUCAUGGUGUAGCAGUGAAAUGCGUAGAUAUCAUGAGGAACACCAGAGGCGAAGGCGGCUUCCUGGACGAUUACUGACGCUCAGGCACGAAAGCGUGGGUAGCGAAAGGGAUUAGAUACCCCUGUAGUCCACGCCCUAAACUAUGUCAACUAGACGUUGGGUUCUUUAAUGAACUUAGUGUCGAAGCUAACGCGUUAAGUUGACCGCCUGGGGAGUACGGCCGCAAGGUG
RNAcentral lists this ribosomal RNA (548 nucleotides) under uncultured bacterium. RNAcentral's name for it is "bacterial SSU rRNA". It matches the Rfam family "Bacterial small subunit ribosomal RNA", at positions 355 to 895 of the family's 1533-position model. The record is from RNAcentral.